GGAAAGGUCAUAGCUUAGUGGUACAGUGCAUGCUUUGCAUACAAAAGGUCCCAGGUUCAAUCCCUAGUGUCUCUA
This is a non-coding RNA of Podarcis lilfordi (Lilford's wall lizard), 75 nucleotides long. The record is from the annotation of a GenBank genome assembly. Lineage: Eukaryota; Metazoa; Chordata; Lepidosauria; Squamata; Lacertidae.